AAGUUUGUUACCUGCCUGGUCUGAACAGCCUGACUUUGAAUGUCCUGCCUCCCUGUCUGGAUUUGUUUGCAUUUUAGACUGGUUCUGACACUUCCCUGGCUGCCGAUACACUCACCAGUGUUGGAGUUGGCCGAGGACGGAGUCUGCAAAUGAGGGGAGGAGUACGCCGAUGAGUCAAAGUUUGAAAGGUGCUGAUGAAUGAUGAAUGAUGAAUAGUCCAACCUGGACUCCCGAUGAGAAAACUGACAGGGAGCUGUAGCUGGGCAGGGACGACUCAGCCUGACUCAACAUGGACCCUGGAGAGAGACACACAGAGCGCAAAGAGAGAGUAAUUACGACAAGAUUUAAGCGGAAGCCUUGCAGCAGAGUGACCUGGAGUUUACCUGAACUGCUGCCGUGCUGCUGAUGAUAGACGGACGUGUUGAAGGA
Molecule: long non-coding RNA, 429 nt
Organism: Plectropomus leopardus (leopard coralgrouper)
Lineage: Eukaryota; Metazoa; Chordata; Actinopteri; Perciformes; Serranidae
Source: RefSeq, a predicted model, not a curated record